UGAGGCCCGAAGCUACUGAUUGAAAUUGGUUGGAACGACGAAAAACCCCGCCAAUUGCGAAGGAACCCAAACAACGGAGGGCUCAGAUGAAGUUCAUAGCGACGUUCUAGCGGAAUCUAGACAAGCUUGCUACAAGGCUCGCGAUACUUUUUAUGCUUGUGUGGAGAAGGAAUCGGACAAAAAAUCCACUGAAAUAGCUUCUGUUGGUCUAAUUUACCCUGCCGAGUGUAAAGUUUUGAGGGCCGAAUUUGUCAAGCUUUGCAGGUUUCUUGGGUAAAUGUCAUUGUCUGAUCACUUGAGAUUUCAAUAAGGCGCUGGUUCUUAGAAUUUAUGGUCUAGUAGGUUUUGAUUUGGUAGGUGAAGCAUUUUGAUAUGAAGUUUUGUCAGAACAGUAGGGUUCAAAGACUCCUAGAUGACAAAGAUUCAAGCAGAGGUCCCUUGAUGCUCCCGCAACCUAAUACUUUUAAGCUUACUGAUUAAACUAAACAUCAUCCCCCGGUGGAACAAAUUUGAGCGGUCAGAGUCUCAUCACUAUCGUUAUUUUGUGCUUCUUUUUUUAUUCUGCAUAUGGAUGAUUGUGGCAAUAGUUUUAGUAAUGAUAUCAAUCUUCUUUCCAA
This is a long non-coding RNA of Cucurbita maxima (winter squash), 617 nucleotides long. RefSeq lists it as uncharacterized. The transcript has 2 exons. Lineage: Eukaryota; Viridiplantae; Streptophyta; Magnoliopsida; Cucurbitales; Cucurbitaceae. The record is from RefSeq and is a predicted model, not a curated record.